RNAcentral lists this ribosomal RNA (468 nucleotides) under uncultured bacterium. RNAcentral's name for it is "partial 16S ribosomal RNA". It matches the Rfam family "Bacterial small subunit ribosomal RNA", at positions 28 to 507 of the family's 1533-position model. The record is from RNAcentral.
GACGAACGCUGGCGGCGUGCUUAACACAUGCAAGUCGAACGGAAAGGCCCUGCUUUUGUGGGGUGCUCGAGUGGCGAACGGGUGAGUAACACGUGAGUAACCUGCCCUUGACUUUGGGAUAACUUCAGGAAACUGGGGCUAAUACCGGAUAGGAGCUCCUGCUGCAUGGUGGGGGUUGGAAAGUUUCGGCGGUUGGGGAUGGACUCGCGGCUUAUCAGCUUGUUGGUGGGGUAGUGGCUUACCAAGGCUUUGACGGGUAGCCGGCCUGGGAGGGUGACCGGCCACAUUGGGACUGAGAUACGGCCCAGACUCCUACGGGAGGCAGCAGUGGGGAAUAUUGCACAGUGGGCGGAAGCCUGAUGCAGCAACGCCGCGUGCGGGAUGACGUCCUUCGGGUUGUAAACCGCUUUCGCCUGUGACGAAGCGUGAGUGACGGUAAUGGGUAAAGAAGCACCGGCUAACUACGUG